This is a long non-coding RNA of Ictalurus punctatus (channel catfish), 6744 nucleotides long. NCBI's taxonomy places the organism in Eukaryota, Metazoa, Chordata, Actinopteri, Siluriformes, Ictaluridae. The record is from Ensembl.
ACACACACACACACACACACACACACACACACACACACACACAAUCAUGACAAUAAAUAAGCAAUAAUAAAUCCUAUCAGAAUAAAAUCUAACCCAUUUUCCAAUUAUGGAAUAUGGAAUAUCUCCAAUUCCGAAAUAUGUAAGAAAUAAUUAUUAAUAACACCGCAGCCCACUCACAGUUUAGCUGCUGCUUUGUUUGCAAACACGCCGCUUCACAGAUGCUUUGAUAAUCCCCCACUGGUAGAACAGUCUGACCAUCUUUCCUUCCAUCUGCCAGCUUACAAACCACUCAUUAACAGGAUUAAACCAACUAGCAAAAUGGUUAGAGUAUGGCCCGAAGGAGCAAUGUCACAGCUAGAGAACUGUUUUGAGCACAAAGAGUGGAAUGUAAACUCCUCUUUACAUCUAGAGCAAUACACCUCAUCUGUCUUGUCCUACAUUAAUUACAAUAAAAACAAUAACCGCCGACAUAUGUGGCAAGGCAUACAAGCUGCCACAGACCACAAAAGGAAUGCUAACCCACCCAUGAACAACAACCUCUCCUUAGCAGUGGAACUCAACAUGUUCUUUGCUCGCUCUGACAGAGAGAACAAUAGUGGGGAAAGAGUUAGGCCUGCACUGCCACCUGUCCAGCAUCAACCACCAACACCGAACACUAACAAGCUCAGAAGGGUUCUGUGCAGCGUCAAUGUGAGGUAAGCAGCUGGUCCUGAUGGUGUCCUAGGGUGCAUACUUUGUGCAUGUGCCAGCCAGCUGACAGCGGUCUUCACCAGCAUUUUCAACCUCUCCUUGACCAAUGCCAUUGUCCAUACCUGCCUCAAAACUACAAUUGUGCCCAUCCCCAAAAAGCAAGAUAUGAGCUGUCUGAAUGACUACUGUCCGACUGAACUCACACCUCUAAUAUCCAAGUGCUUUGAGAAGCUGAUUCUGGCACAUACUAAAACUACCUGCCACUCUGGACCAGUAUCAGUUUGCUUAUCGGACAAACAGAUCAACAGAAAAUGCAAUGAGCCUCGCCCUCCACACUGCCUUGGAACCCCUGGAAAGGCUGAACACAUAUAUCAGAAUAAUCUUCAUUGACUUCAGUUCGGCCAUCAACAUGGUCAUCCACAAUGCACAGUGUCCAAACUCCACAGCCUAGGCCUAAGCAUAGUUGUUCUGCAGCUGGACUCUGGACUUCCUGACUUCCUAGAUUUCCUGUCUCCAGUACAUCAGGUUAGGAAAGCACACAUCCUCCACUCACACCAUAUAUACUGGUGUUCCACAGGGAUGUGUGUUGAGCCCCAUUUGUAUGCACUCUUCACCCACGACUGCCUACCUGCUCAUGCAACACACACCAUUGUGAAGUUCACAAGACAGUCACUGGGCUGAUCACAAACAAUGAUGAGACUGCAUACAGGGAUGAGGUCCGAAAUCUGACAACCUGGUGCUCCUCUCAUCCUUCAUAGCAGGAAGACAAAGGAGAUUGUGGUGGACUUCAAGAAGAAAAGGAGAAUGACCUUAGUCCUGUGAUCAUAAAUGGCAAGACUUGGAGAGAGUCCCCAGUUUCUUGAACAUUACAGAGGACUUCUCCUGGUCCAUGAACUCCUCCACUGUCAUUGGAAAGGCACAACAGCUCCUCUACUUCCUGAGAAGACUGAGGAGAGUGAGACUGCCCCAGGAUCUUUUUGUGAACUUAUAUCGAUGUACAGUGGAGAGUGGACUGACGUACUGCAUUACAGAAUGGUAUGCCAGCUGCACAAGAGAAGACCAGACGGUCAUCAGGUCCGCAGAAAAAUCAUCAAGGACACAGGCUCAAUCAUACUGGAAACAUCCACCACAAAGUUUGAAGUGUUGUGUGUUCUUUGACACUUUUUUCCUCACCAUGGUUGUAAAGAGUGCUUAUUUGAGGUACUAUAGACUUCCUGUCAGCUCAGACCAUUCUGGUCAUUCUCAUCUGAUCACUCUUGUCAACAAGAUGUUUCAGCCUGCAGACCCUUCACACACAGGAUCCCCCCCGCACCAUUCUGUGUGAACACUAGAGACUGUUGUGUAUGAAAUCCCCAGGAGUUCAGCAGUUUCUGACAUACUCAAACCAGCCUGUCAGGCACCAACAACCAUGCCACAGUUAAAGUUACAGAGAUCACACUUUUUCACCAUUCUGAUGUUUGGUGUGAACUAGGAAUGUGAUGGUAAGGAAAUUUUCCCACCAGAUAAUCGACGUAUGACAACACCGGUAAUACCGAUAUGACCGGGGGGAGGGGCCAAAAGGGGUUCCCCCUCUCUUAUGGAUGCCCAUGUGGAAGUGCGCAUUUCACUUUCACUUGAUAAAUGAAAUCUGACACCUGCUGAUCUGUGCUGUGACUCUGACUCAUUCUAAAUUGAGCAGACGUGUUCAGCUUUUAAUUAUAGCAUCCGUUCUCUAACGGAACUAAAUUCAUUUCUAUUAUUAUAAAAAGGCAAAAUGAUGGUGGGGGAGGUGCCACGGUGGGUGGCAAAUGUAAUUGGUGUGUGGCCCCAACACUGGUAACACCAGGAACACUGGCUAUCGCAGCAAGCCUAAUGUGAACAUUAACUAUGACCUGUAGCUGUAUGAAUUAUUGCAUUGUGCUGCUGUUGCAUGAUUGGCUGAUUAGAUAAGUGCAUAAAUAUGCAGGUGUACAGGUGCCUAAUAAAGUCGAUGGUGAGUGUAUGAAAAUUGAAAAUUCUUUCUUUACUGUGGGGCCUUUAUAAGCUGGGGACUUCUGUAGGUUAAAUAUGGGAAAGGUCUUGCCCGUGGUGAUCAGAUUCUUGACUACUGUUAUUUUACACUUAAGGACAGUCUCACAGCCAUCCCUCAACCAGCAUUUGGCAAGGCUAAUCACAUUUCCAUACUCCUUUUGUCUGCUUACAGAAAUUGAAGCCAGUUUCCUGUAUACUUUAUUAAUGAUGCAAUCAGCAUACUCCAGGCUUGCUUCAAAACCACAGACUGGCAGAUAUUCCACAAUGCUGUCACAGCAAACAUCAGACAGUCUGAAGGAUCACUAAGGACUGCUCCUCAGUGUGGAAAGACCUCCAAAAACUCACAAACUACAAAAAGAAGCCACCCAGCUGUAAAGCCAACCCCCACUAGACCAACCAGCUAAAUCAUUUCUGUUGCCAGUUUGAGAGACAAGGGUCCUCCAACAUUGAUGACAGUAAAACACCCCACACACUUUGGCAUCUUUCUGCCUCUGCUACCAACACAUCUAUCCCACUACCCCCUCACAUCACUCCAACAAACAAAGACAUACAACUGUAUGCUUCCAACUUUGUGGGGAAGGCCCUUUCCUGUUCCAGCACGACCUGAGCAAGAUCAAGGUCCAUAAAGGUAUGACUGGAUGAGUUUGUAGUGAAGGAACUCCAACAUCCUGCAAAGAGUCCUGACCUCAACCCCACUGAACACCUUUAGCAAUAAUAUGGAAUGCUGAAAUGCAAGUCAGGCCUUCUCAUCCAGCAUAAAUGCCUGACCAGUCAAAUUCCUACAGACACACUCCAAAAUCUUGUAGAAAGCCUUCCCAGAGGAGUGGAAGCUGUUAUAGCUGUAAAGGGGGUGGAGGCAACUCCAUAUUAAUGCCCAUGGUUUUGGAAUGGCAUGUCCAAGAAGCUUUUAUAGGUGUGAUGGUUAGGUGCCUACAUACCUUUGGCCAUAUAGUGUAUGUGAGAAUUUUGUCUAUCUUUGUUCCCACCAAACUCAUCAUGAAUUCAAAAAUCUGGGGCAGAUGGAUCAUGGACUUCCUGACAGGCAGACCCCAAUGGGUGAGAAUCAGUAACUCAACCUCCUACACACUGACUCCGAACAUAGGUUUAUCCUGUUUAGUUAUGCUUUAUCCUGUUUAGACAGGCCAAAUUUGGACAUUUUCACUUAGGAGUGUACUCACUUUUGUUGCCAGCAGUUUAGACAUUAAUGGCUGUGUGUUGAGUUAUUUUGAGGGGACAGCAAAUUUACACUGUUACACAAGCUGUACACUCACUACUUUACAUUGUAGCAAAGUGUCAUUUCUUCAGUGUUGUCACAUGAAAAGACAAUCAAAUAUUUACAAAAAUGUAAGGGGUGUACUCACUUUUGUGAGAUACUGUAGGUGCUGAGGAAUGAUCACGUUGAACGCUUAAGUCUACAAACAACAUCCGAACGUAGGUGUAAUUUCUAUCCGGGUGGGUGAGGGCCAGAUGUAGGGUGGUGGCUAUGGCAUCAUCUGUUGAGCAGUUGGGAUGAAACGCCAAUUGCAGGGGCAAAGUGAGGGGGGCAGCAGGAUCUUGAUUCGUGCUUCAUUCGGUACAGGGACAAUGGUGGUGGCCUUGAAGCACAUUGGAACAACAGCUCUACUCAUGUAGACAUUGAAGAUGUCAGUGAGAACAUCCACCAGCUGGUCUGCACAUCCUCUGGGCACUCUGCCAGGAAUGCUGUCUGGUCCAGCAGCUUUCUGUGGGUUGACUCGGCAUGGAAUCUUCCUCACAUCAGCCGUGGUUAACACAGCACCUGGUUGUUGGGAAGAGGGAUGGUCUUCCUCACCAAACUGAGCGUGGAAGUUGUUCAGCACAUCUGGAAGGGAGGCAUCACUGUCACAGGUGGGUGAUGUUGUCCUAUGUUUGCUGAUGGCGUGAGUGCCCUGCCACAUGCGCUGCAUAUAGCCACUGUCCAGGAAGUGGCUGUGGAUUUUCUGCAUGCUUUGCCUCUCUGAUGGCCCGGGACAGUUUGGCCAUCCCUGUUCUUAGUGCCGCCUUAUCUCCUGCUCUGAAGGCAUAGACUCAGGUCCUCAGCAGAGCAUGCACCUCCACAGUCUUCUGGUCUGAAUAUGAUGGUCUUGGAGACAGUGAUGCCAUCAAUGCACUUGCUGAUGUAGCUGGUCACUAAUGCUGUGUAUUCCUCUAAGCUGCUGGAGUCGCUAUAAGUUGCAGCCUCCCUGAACAUGUACCAAGCAGUGUGCCCAAAACAGUCCUGAAGAGCAGAGAUGGUUCCUGCUGGCCAGGUUUUCUCCUACUUCAAAAUCAGUUUGGUACAUCUGAUGAGUAGUCUGUAUGAUGGGAUUAGUAGUCGAGGUGGGGGUGGGGCUCUGCCCAGUAUGCGCUGGGGAUGUUUGUGUAAACAAGAUCCAGAGCGUUCGCCCCUCUCUGUGCAAGAUCCACGUUAAUGGAUUUUACGGAGCAUUGACCUCUGGCAACAAUAAACAGUCCAUCAGGGUGUGUAUUCUGCAGUUUGUUCAUAGCCCCAAACAGUUCACAGUGCACUACCUUCAUAUUAGCACUGAGGGGAAUGCACGCUCCGAUUAUAAGGACAGUGGUGAAUUCCCAUGUUAAAUAAAAUGGUCUGCACCUAACGGUCACAAACUCCACAGUGAGCAGUAAAUAGAAAUUAGCACAGGGUUCUUGCACUAUGCAGUGUUGAUGUAAACACAUAAGCCACCACUGCCAGUCUUACCACACAGAGCUGCAUUUCUGUUGCCGCGUAAUGAGGAGAGCCUCUAGCUGAAUGGCAGCCACAUACCUGAGUAGACAAAGACACAGCAGUCUCUAAACUCACGCCGUGUAGAUUGCUGGAGUUGGAUCGGGUCGAAUUAAUUGUCCAGGGAGCAGACACUGAAGAGCAGAAUUGAUGGGAGAGCCAACUGGCUAGGGUUUGUUUUUAGCCUAGCAUGCCCUUUUGCCGUGCUUCCCCUUUCUCACACACUGCUUAUGACAUCCCCUCCCCCAGCCACCAGCAUCAGGUGACACUGAGGGCUGGAGGCCUGGUCCUCACAGCAAGCAAAAUUGCAUAGCUUCUCAAGCAGACCAUCAUGCAGUCUUUUCAAUCUGGAUGAGGCACUGCAACAAGGCAAUAUCCAUCACUCCACGUCACCCGCUGCAAUAAGCUUUUUCUUUGUGGCCAAGAAGGGGGGCAGCCUCAGACCAUAUAUUGACUAUUGGGGGCUCAACCAGUGCUCAGUCAAGUAUUCAUAUUCCCUUCCACUAGUCACCUCAGCCCUGGAACAGCUGCGAACCACCAAGUACUUCACCAAGAUGGACCUCCGAAGUGCAUACAACCUGGUGCGGAUACGGGAAGGGGACGAGUGGAAAAUGGCAUUCAGUACAGCGACUGGCCAUUAUGAAUAUCGCGUCAUGCCACAUGGGAUCUCUAGCACCCCCUCAGGGCCAGUUUCAAGGAAAUACACAGAGUAACAGUCAGCCUCACCUUGGGAUAGCACCCAGAGUCCAAUGGCCAGGUUGAUUGGGCCAACCAGGAGAUAGGCCACUUGCUCCGCUCUUUUUGUAGCCAAAACCCUGCAGACUGGUCACAGUUCCUGGGCAGAGUAUGCCCAAAACUCCCUUUGCCGUUCAGCCACUCAGUGCGCACUGGGUUAUCAGCCACCCCUGUUUCCUUGCAACACCACUCCCACCAACUCACCUGUGGUGGAUGAAUGGUUCCGGCAUAGCGAGCAGGUGGUGGCAUACAUCCUCCAAAGACUACAACAAGCGUCUCAAACCUCCAAAUAACAAGCUGAUUGUUACAGAAGACCCACACCCCGCUAUAAACCAGGAGACAGGACGUGGUUUUCCACCAGAUACUUGCCUCAAGCCCAGGUCUGUAAAAAUCCAAGUCCUCGAUACACCGGUCUGUUCAAGAUACUGAAACCAAUCAACGAUGUCACAUGCAAACUGGACCUUCCCCGACACUGGCACAUAGCCCACACAUUUCAAGUGUCCCAUCUCACGCCAGUUGUGACAGGACCCCUUGCCAUUAACCAACCAACCAGGAUCGAACCCCCCCCC